AAAUCGUACCCCAAACCGACACAGGUGGUCAGGUAGAGAAUACCAAGGCGCUUGAGAGAACUCGGGUGAAGGAACUAGGCAAAAUGGUGCCGUAACUUCGGGAGAAGGCACGCUGGUGUGUAGGUGAAGCCCCUGCGGGUGGAGCUGAGACCAGUCGAAGAUACCAGCUGGCUGCAACUGUUUAUUAAAAACACAGCACUGUGCAAACACGAAAGUGGACGUAUACGGUGUGACGCCUGCCCGGUGCCGGAAGGUUAAUUGAUGGGGUUAUCCGUAAGGAGAAGCUCUUGAUCGAAGCCCCGGUAAACGGCGGCCGUAACUAUAACGGUCCUAAGGUAGCGAAAUUCCUUGUCGGGUAAGUUCCGACCUGCACGAAUGGCGUAAUGAUGGCCAGGCUGUCUCCACCCGAGACUCAGUGAAAUUGAACUCGCUGUGAAGAUGCAGUGUACCCGCGGCAAGACGGAAAGACCCCGUGAACCUUUACUAUAGCUUGACACUGAACAUUGAGCCUUGAUGUGUAGGAUAGGUGGGAGGCUUUGAAGCGUGGACGCCAGUCUGCGUGGAGCCAACCUUGAAAUACCACCCUUUAAUGUUUGAUGUUCUAACGUUGGCCCCUGACCGGGGUUGCGGACAGUGUCUGGUGGGUAGUUUGACUGGGGCGGUCUCCUCCCAAAGCGUAACGGAGGAGCACGAAGGUUAGCUAAUCCUGGUCGGACAUCAGGAGGUUAGUGCAAUGGCAUAAGCUAGCUUGACUGCGAGCGUGACGGCGCGAGCAGGUGCGAAAGCAGGUCAUAGUGAUCCGGUGGUUCUGAAUGGAAGGGCCAUCGCUCAACGGAUAAAAGGUACUCCGGGGAUAACAGGCUGAUACCGCCCAAGAGUUCAUAUCGACGGCGGUGUUUGGCACCUCGAUGUCGGCUCAUCACAUCCUGGGGCUGAAGUAGGUCCCAAGGGUAUGGCUGUUCGCCAUUUAAAGUGGUACGCGAGCUGGGUUUAGAACGUCGUGAGACAGUUCGGUCCCUAUCUGCCGUGGGCGCUGGAGAAUUGAGGGGGGCUGCUCCUAGUACGAGAGGACCGGAGUGGACGUAUCACUGGUGUUCGGGUUGUCAUGCCAAUGGCACUGCCCGGUAGCUAAAUGCGGAAGAGAUAAGUGCUGAAAGCAUCUAAGCACGAAACUUGCCCCGAGAUGAGUUCUCCCUGAGACUUUAAGUCUCCUGAAGGAACGUUAAAGACGAUGACGUUGAUAGGCCGGGUGUGUAAGCGCAGCGAUGCGUUGAGCUAACCGGUACUAAUGAACCGUGAGGCUUAACCUU
This 1310-nucleotide ribosomal RNA is filed under the name Klebsiella pneumoniae BWH 46. RNAcentral describes it as "bacterial LSU rRNA". It matches the Rfam family "Bacterial large subunit ribosomal RNA", at positions 1639 to 2925 of the family's 2925-position model. Lineage: Bacteria; Pseudomonadati; Pseudomonadota; Gammaproteobacteria; Enterobacterales; Enterobacteriaceae. The record is from RNAcentral.